AGCCUCCCCGUCGGCGAGUUGAGAAGGGCGGAGAGGGGAUGUGAAACUGCAUACUGGAGUAGCCAUGUUAGCUAUUAUUGCGUUUUAUUUUACUAAGAAAUAUCCUUACUGUGGAUCUGAAGUAGCGUCAGUUUCGUCCCUCUGCUUUGUGCGGCUCAACGAGUUUUGUAUUCCAAAACUGCUGCUCGCCAUGUGUGGGGUCACUGUGUUUUCUUUGAUCUAUUAACAGAUUGCACUGUUUUCUUUUUGUUUAUCUGAAUGGUUUUAGUUAAAGUGACGGUUUAGAUGUGAAACGGAAGUCUUGAGAUCGACUAAAAUAAGAAACAGCAACUUUCGCGCCGACUUGCAGAGAAAAAGAGAGGUACAGAGGAGAGAGGUACUGAUAUGAAGGUGGUGCAUCUUGGUAGAAGGCAAGGACUAGAUAUGGCAUAUUCUCAUAUUAAAGAAGAGCUUCCUGAACUGGAACCUGUCCAUAUUAAAGAGGAGGCCCCUGGACUGGAACCUGUCCAUGUUAAAGAGGAGGCCCCUGGACUGGAACAUGUCCAUGUUAAAGAGGAGGCCCCUGGACUGGAACAUGUCCAUGUUAAAGAGGAGGCCCCUGUGCUGGAACCUGUCCAUGUUAAAGAGGAGGCCCCUGUGCUGGAACCUGUCCAUGUUAAAGAGGAGGCCCCUGGACUGGAACAUGUCCAUGUUAAAGAGGAGGCCCCUGGACUGGAACAUGUCCAUGUUAAAGAGGAGGCCCCUGGACUGGAACAUGUCCAUGUUAAAGAGGAGGCCUCUGUGCUGGAACCUGUCCAUGUUAAAGAGGAGGCCCCUGGACUGGAACAUGUCCAUGUUAAAGAGGAGGCCCCUGGACUGGAACAUGUCCAUGUUAAAGAGGAGGCCCCUGGACUGGAACAUGUCCAUGUUAAAGAGGAGGCCCCUGUGCUGGAACAUGUCCAUGUUAAAGAGGAGGCCCAUGUGCUGGAACAUGUCCAUGUUAAAGAGGAGGCCCCUGGAGUGGAAGCUGUCCAUGUUAAAGAGGAGGCCCCUGGACUGGAACAUGUCCAUGUUAAAGAGGAGGCCCCUGGACUGGAACAUGUCCAUGUUAAAGAGGAGAGUCCUGUGCUGGAACAUGUCCAUGUUAAAGAGGAGGCCCCUGGACUGGAACAUGUCCAUGUUAAAGAGGAGAGUCCUGUGCUGGAACAUGUCCAUGUUAAAGAGGAGGCCCCUGGACUGGAACAUGUCCAUGUUAAAGAGGGGGCCCCUGGACUGGAACAUGUCCACGUUAAACAAGAGGUAGCCAAGCCUGAUGAUUUAUUACAUAGAGAGUCCUCUCAAGCCAUGUAUGCUAAUGGAGAGGAGGGGACUGAGCUGGGUUCCAUUCAGAGGAACCAUCACAUCUCCCAGCUGGAGGCUAUCCAAAUAAAUCCUGCAUCACAACAUGCACCAAGGUCACCUUCACCCUGUGGGACAACAAUGUUAGAAAAAGAACAUGAAUGUGGAAAGAGCUUCACUCAUUUAGGAAACUUCAAACACCAGCAACUUCACACAGGAGAGAAACCACACCAAUGUAUACAUUGUGGGAAAAGUUUUGGUUAUUUAGGAAGCUUCAAAAAACACCAGCAAAUCCACACGGGAGAGAGCUCACAACAGUGUAAUCAAUGCGGGAAGAGCUUCUCUCGGUUAGGAAACCUUAAGCAACACCAGCAAACUCACACAGGAGAGAAACCACACCACUGUAUACUUUGUGGGAAGAGUUACGGUCAUUUACCAACCUUUAAAAGACAUCAGAGAAUCCACACAGGCGAGAAACCACACCAGUGUAAUGAAUGUGGAAAGAGCUUCUCUUGGUUAGAACACUUUAAGCAACACCAGCGAACUCACACAGGAGAGAAACCACACCACUGUGUACUUUGUGGGAAAAGUUUUGCUCAGUUAACAACCUUUAAAAGACACCAGCAAAUUCACACAGGAGAGAAACCACACCAGUGUAACGAAUGUGGGAAGAGCUUCGCUCGUUUAGGAAGCCUUAAAAAACACCAGCCAGUUCACACAGGAAAUAAACCACACCAGUGUAAUGAAUGUGGAAAGAGCUUCUCUUGGUUAGGACACUUUAAGCAACACCAGCGAACUCACACAGGAGAGAAACCACACCACUGUGUACUUUGUGGGAAAAGUUUUGCUCAGUUAACAACUUUUAAAAGACACCAGCAAAUCCACACAGGAGAGAAACCACACCAGUGUAACGAAUGUGGUAAGAGCUUCGCUCGUUUAGGAAGCCUUAAAAAACACCAGCGAGUUCACACAGGAGAAAAACCACACCAGUGUAGUGAAUGUGAGAAGAGCUUUGCUGAAUUAGGAAACUUUAAAAAACACCAGCAAGUUCACACAGGAGAGAAACCUCACCACUGUAUAAAUUGUGGGAAGAGCUUUACUCGGUUAGGAAGCCUUAAAAGACACCAGCGAAUUCACACAGCGGUGAAACCAUAACCAUUGUGCUGAAUGUAGGGGAAAGGUUUGAUUUGGUGGGACACCUUAAACCACCAGAAAACUCAUGUAAGACAGAAACCCUGUAACUGAAGAGAUGAACUUCAAUUGAUAUGAAAACACAUAUCAAUUAUAUUGGUUAUUACACACACACAGUACCUUGGAAAUGUUAUUUAAAUACGGUAUGCUGGAAUAAUUCAGUAUUGUUUAACUGCAUUUAAAACAUGUAACACAGCAGCUUGCAAGAUAUUGGAUUUCAAAGUCCUUUGUAUGAUUUUACAAUUUAAAAGUGCAAAUGAAGAUUAAAAUCACAAACAUAAAUUUAUUAUAUUAAUAUGAUUGUAUAACCAAUUAAUUUAGGAGGUAUACGACCUACAAGAAAAGUCUAAUAAAUCCAUAAGAACUGAAGGUCUCCCAACUAGUAUAGAUUACAAAAAAAAAAACAAUAGUCAUAAUAUGUGUUGUACAAAAAGAAAAAAAAUGACUUGGAGUUGUUCAUUGAAGUGAACAUGUUUUUGUGAAACAGUACCAGGCCAUAAAACUCACAAGAGCUGCUGCAUUCCUGCAGGUUCAUACACAUUCGUGUCGCUGGCACUGAAACUGUGGAAUUAGCUGCCACCAUCUGCAGGAGGUACCAGACAUAAGACCAGCAAAAGAACAGGAGAUAUUUGACACAUUAUUAUUACUAUUAUUAUUAUUAUUUAUUUCUUAGCAGACGCCCUUAUCCAGGGCGACUUACAAUUGUUACAAGAUAUCACAUUAUUUCACAUUAUACAGAUAUCACAUUAUUUUUACAUACAAUUCCCCAUUUAUACAGUUGGGUUUUUACUGGAGCAAUCUAGGUAAAGUACCUUGCUCAAGGGUACAACAGCAGUGUCCCCUACUGGGGAUUGAACCCACAACCCUCUAGUCAAGAGUCCAGAGUCCUAACCGCUACUCCACACUGCUGCCCCACAUAAAUUAAAUAUUACACUUCAUGAAAAGUCAUAAGACUGGAUUCUGGAAUGGAAAUGGAAACAGUCAUUUUUAUAGUAAAUACUAGCCAGCCUGUGUUUUUACUUCCUUUCCCAUUGGAAAGGCUGUGCAUUUGAGACCACAUAGUUCUCAUGAGAGUGUGCUAGCGACAGUACAGUAGGAGUCUCUGAUAGUAUGUGGUAGAUACAAAGUGAACGCUAUGAAUGAAACACAAUCGACAGCCAUGGAAACGAGUUCAGCAUCACCCUAUAGAAUAACUCACUGUGCUUCAUAAAGUCGAAUGAAACCUGCUGAACAAUGUUAAGUUAACAUAUUCAAUUACAUAGCGCUUUGUAGUUUUCCAUAGUACUUGUAGAAGAACUGACACAAAUCUAAAUGUGACAUUUCUAAAUCUUACAUGAUAUGCCAUUAUGGUUUCCGGUAGACUUUCUGUAUCAUUUUGUAGUUUCUUUGAUUACAUGAUGUUAAAUAAAAGAUCUAACAAAAAGUGCGUGCAUCAACUGAGAAACAGGAUCAUAUUUUAUAAAAGGGAUACACACCUAAAAACAAACUUAACACACAAAAACAUAACAAACAGGAAAAUCAGCUUAAAUAAUCCAGAUUUCCUUCCAUUCAGAAUGUGCUUUGCCUGGUCAGGCUUGCUUCUGUUCAAAAUAAAAACAGCAGGUGGUACAUUUUAUGGUCCCACAUUAUGUGGUACUCGCCACAAUGUGCCUCUUGAUUUUUCAGACUCCUUUGUUGUUUCAUCGCAAUCCUUUUGUAGCUGUUCACGCAUGCGGUUGUCAAGAGAUCGAUCCAUUGGCAAAACUGGAGUUGCUUUUCCCUGGCUUUCCAGCUCUGACAUCAUAUUUUUGAAAUUCUUCAGUUCGUGCUGCUGCAGUUGUGAGGAGAGCAGUUUUGAUUUUUGUUUAAAAGCUGUCACAGAAGUAAUCAUUUCAACAAUGUUGUCUCGUUUCCUUGCAGCUCUAAAUUGAGUUUGUUCAGCUGAGCAGCAACUUCAGUCAAAAAAUCCAAAUCUAACAGCCACGCUUCAUCUUCCAGCUGCUUGUAUUAAGCAUCUCGAGGCCAGAAACUCCUUGAUUUCAGUUAAUAGACCCCUAAAUCUCUGCAGAAAUGUUCCUCUACUAAGCCAACUUACAUCCAUGUGUAGCAAGAGCUCUGCGUGUUCAGCUUCACUUUCUUCCAGUUGAGACCUGAAAGGCGUCCCUGCAGACAGUGAAAGAAAGGGUAUUGUUCAUUUCCAGACCCUUGCCAGAGCACACUACUGCAUUACACUGUAACAAAGCAUUUAUGUUUUUGGCAAGUUGAUAAAAUACAAGUGUUUUCAUUUUAUUAUAUUAUACCUUUUAGGAGGUCUUUUUUCAACAGGAGUAUUUUUUUUUAAUAAAUUAUGUUACCUUAGGUACCCUAGGGUAAACUAAAGGGAUUUCUUCACAAUUCAACUUUAAUUAUGGAACCUGUAGUUAUUAUACUGUGGAGGUGGAAUUUAUAUUUUCCGAAUAUUUGUGUAUCUAACAUUUAAUGCUUAAUCAGCAGGGAGCAUUUGCGUGCAUAAUCUGCUUAGCUACAGUAAUUUUGUAUCAAAAUAACUAUAAAGUUUAUAUUUGAAGUUUUAUAUGUUUAUGCUAAGCUGAAGCAAAUUUCAGAAGGAACACUUUGUGGCUUUCUUUACAGAAGUAAACCAGACACCUCCAUCCUGUCACAAACUCAUGAGAUGUCUGGGCAGACAGUCAAAAGUGACAGGUGUCUAGUUUAGAUACAAAGAGAGAUGGAAAAUAAGUUUGUAUGUGCGGGUAACGUGUGAGCUAACAGGGUGAGCACCUCAACGUGACUGGAUAUUGAACUAGAAGAUGGGAGGGAAUCACCCAUGAGGUUUGUGUAUAGAUAUGUGUGUUUUUAUUAAUUAAGUAUUUGCUUAUAAGUUUUCAUUUUAUUCCAUAUAUAGAAUAUUGCUUCGGCUUAGGACUCAGGGUGCAGUUCCGCUUAAAUGUGUCUAUAAGAUAUGUUUCUACUUCUGUAAAAUCAUGGCAUGCCAUGACAGCGAGUGAGGAAAUAAGUCUCGGAAAAACAACCCCUUAUAUGGAAACCUCCUGAAACCGUCUAUAUGACGUAAGUGACUGUAUAACUGUGUGCUGAAAGGCUGCAUCAUUAAGUCAGACUUGUGUUUUGAACGCAUUUGCUGGCUUCCUUUGCACAUCGUAUUAAAG
Molecule: RNA transcript, 5651 nt
Organism: Acipenser ruthenus (sterlet)
Lineage: Eukaryota; Metazoa; Chordata; Actinopteri; Acipenseriformes; Acipenseridae
Gene name: zinc finger protein 189-like
Exons: 3
Source: RefSeq, a predicted model, not a curated record